CUCUUUGCACUUUGACCUCCGACUGACCAGUAGCACGAGGUCGGUCGGUAGGUUAGGUGGUAGUCCUGGAAACCACGACUGACCCAAGUUAUUUGACUCUAUUUGUAUUCAUGCGCCUUUGGAGACUCGCCUUUGUGGAUCCCCAAGGCCUCGUCUGGCACUUGACUGGUAGACAGACUGUGUAUUUGCACUUUCCUUUUACCAUCACAAGGAUGGAUGAGACGAGAGAGGUGAUGGGGAAGAGCAUGCAAUGGGAGAGAGAGAGCCGAAUGCUGGACGCAUGAGGAUGAUGCAACAUGAUGAGGACGAGCGCUGCCUGCGGGGGAUGGGACAGCAUGGGACGGAGACGAGGACAGGAGACGAGGAGGGCAAUGAGGACAGGAGACGAGGACAGGGCUGGGCUGGACUGGCCACCUGGCAUAGCGGGCAUUUUCCGGUGGGCCCUGCACCCUCAUGGGCCCCUAUUUUCAGAAAUGAAAAAAAAAAGAUUUUCUGAAAAUAGGGGCCCAUGAGGGUGUGGGGCCCACCGG
Engraulis encrasicolus (European anchovy) is the source of this 530-nucleotide long non-coding RNA. RefSeq lists it as uncharacterized. Lineage: Eukaryota; Metazoa; Chordata; Actinopteri; Clupeiformes; Engraulidae. The record is from RefSeq and is a predicted model, not a curated record. The transcript has 3 exons.